RNAcentral lists this ribosomal RNA (1448 nucleotides) under uncultured organism. Its description in RNAcentral is "SSU rRNA". It matches the Rfam family "Bacterial small subunit ribosomal RNA". The record is from RNAcentral.
UAGCUACAGGCUUAACACAUGCAAGUCGAGGGGCAGCAUGGUCUUAGCUUGCUAAGGCCGAUGGCGACCGGCGCACGGGUGAGUAACACGUAUCCAACCUGCCGUCUACUCUUGGACAGCCUUCUGAAAGGAAGAUUAAUACAAGAUGGCAUCAUGAGUCCACAUGUUCACAUGAUUAAAGGUAUUCCGGUAGACGAUGGGGAUGCGUUCCAUUAGAUAGUAGGCGGGGUAACGGCCCACCUAGUCUUCGAUGGAUAGGGGUUCUGAGAGGAAGGUCCCCCACAUUGGAACUGAGACACGGUCCAAACUCCUACGGGAGGCAGCAGUGAGGAAUAUUGGUCAAUGGGCGAGAGCCUGAACCAGCCAAGUAGCGUGAAGGAUGACUGCCCUAUGGGUUGUAAACUUCUUUUAUAAAGGAAUAAAGUCGGGUAUGCAUACCCGUUUGCAUGUACUUUAUGAAUAAGGAUCGGCUAACUCCGUGCCAGCAGCCGCGGUAAUACGGAGGAUCCGAGCGUUAUCCGGAUUUAUUGGGUUUAAAGGGAGCGUAGAUGGAUGUUUAAGUCAGUUGUGAAAGUUUGCGGCUCAACCGUAAAAUUGCAGUUGAUACUGGAUAUCUUGAGUGCAGUUGAGGCAGGCGGAAUUCGUGGUGUAGCGGUGAAAUGCUUAGAUAUCACGAAGAACUCCGAUUGCGAAGGCAGCCUGCUAAGCUGCAACUGACAUUGAGGCUCGAAAGUGUGGGUAUCAAACAGGAUUAGAUACCCUGGUAGUCCACACGGUAAACGAUGAAUACUCGCUGUUUGCGAUAUACGGCAAGCGGCCAAGCGAAAGCGUUAAGUAUUCCACCUGGGGAGUACGCCGGCAACGGUGAAACUCAAAGGAAUUGACGGGGGCCCGCACAAGCGGAGGAACAUGUGGUUUAAUUCGAUGAUACGCGAGGAACCUUACCCGGGCUUAAAUUGCAGAUGAAUUACGGUGAAAGCCGUAAGCCGCAAGGCAUCUGUGAAGGUGCUGCAUGGUUGUCGUCAGCUCGUGCCGUGAGGUGUCGGCUUAAGUGCCAUAACGAGCGCAACCCUUGUUGUCAGUUACUAACAGGUUCCGCUGAGGACUCUGACAAGACUGCCAUCGUAAGAUGUGAGAAAGGUGGGGAUGACGUCAAAUCAGCACGGCCCUUACGUCCGGGGCUACACACGUGUUACAAUGGGGGGUACAGAGGGCCGCUACCACGCGAGUGGAUGCCAAUCCCCAAAACCUCUCUCAGUUCGGACUGGAGUCUGCAACCCGACUCCACGAAGCUGGAUUCGCUAGUAAUCGCGCAUCAGCCACGGCGCGGUGAAUACGUUCCCGGGCCUUGUACACACCGCCCGUCAAGCCAUGGGAGCCGGGGGUACCUGAAGUGCGUAACCGCGAGGAGCGCCCUAGGGUAAAACUGGUGACUGGGGCUAAGUCGU